CACGUAGGGGGCGAGCGUUGUCCGGAUUCAUUGGGCGUAAAGGGCGCGCAGGCGGCCCGGAAAGUCGGAUGUGAAAACUCGAGGCUCAACCUCGAGCGUGCACCCGAUACUGCCGGGCUUGAGGCAGGUAGGGGAGAUCGGAAUUCCUGGUGUAGCGGUGAAAUGCGCAGAUAUCAGGAGGAACGCCGGUGGCGAAGGCGGAUCUCUGGGCCUGUCCUGACGCUGAGGCGCGAAAGCUAGGGUAGCAAACGGG
RNAcentral lists this ribosomal RNA (253 nucleotides) under uncultured bacterium. RNAcentral describes it as "partial 16S ribosomal RNA". It matches the Rfam family "Bacterial small subunit ribosomal RNA", at positions 524 to 776 of the family's 1533-position model. The record is from RNAcentral.